Molecule: non-coding RNA, 403 nt
Organism: Marmota monax (woodchuck)
Lineage: Eukaryota; Metazoa; Chordata; Mammalia; Rodentia; Sciuridae
Source: the annotation of a RefSeq genome assembly
UCUGCUGGGGAAGCCUGUUCAUAGAAAUCUUAUUUGGCUGUUUAUUGAAGAGACAGGGAUGGAGACUCUCCUGCAAGCACUUGUAGGGAUACUGGGCUUGCAGGCAGCCUGGGUCAGUAGCCAAGUACUGCUGCAGAGUCCUCGGUCUCUGAGCAUCCAAGAGGGAGAGAAUCUCACCAUAAAUUGCAAUUCAUCACAGUCUUUAUAUGCCUUACACUGGUAUAGGCAGAACUAUGAUGGAGAGUUCAUCUUCUUGAUGCUAUUUCGUAAAGGCGGAGAAGAGAAAAGCCAUGAAAAAUUAACUGCCAAGUUGGAUGCAAAAAUGCAGCAAAGCUCCCUGAGCAUCACAGCUGCUCAGCCCAGCCACUCGGGCACCUACUUCUGUGGAGGAGAGGCACAGUGA